UGGAAUUCGACUCCACUUUCGUGCUAAAUCUCCUGGAUGGGCAUUAGAAGCCCAGCUCUGUUCCAGGAGAGCCAAAGGCUGCACCCACCUCUUAGAGCUGGAAUGAACUCUGGAAUCAACCAUUGGGAAAUCCCACUGGGAGAGAAGAGCAGAGACCCCCAGCAGGGGCACUGCCUCUGUUCAGGGCAGAGCAGCCAGAAGUGCCUAUGCCUCAGCAACCUGGAGUCCAGGUGCUCCUCCAUGCCCUCACCUUGGCACAGGAAAGGCAACGUGGGGCCCAAGGAACAGAUCAUUCCCGACAUUUCACAGUGGUUGGAAUUAACAGAUGUAGGAUAAUAGCAUCAAAUUUUAAGCUUAUAACAAAUGUUACUUUCAAAUCAGCUAUGCAAAUACAGCUUUAAAUAUAUGCAGAUUUAUGACUAGUUCCUUAAAGGUAAUGAUUUUUUUAAAAAAACACUGAAUUCUAAGAGGAAUUCUUAAU
Molecule: long non-coding RNA, 481 nt
Filed under: Fukomys damarensis (Damara mole-rat)
Lineage: Eukaryota; Metazoa; Chordata; Mammalia; Rodentia; Bathyergidae
Description: lncRNA (ENSFDAG00000028066.1)
Source: RNAcentral